Molecule: ribosomal RNA, 497 nt
Filed under: uncultured bacterium
Lineage: Bacteria
Description: partial 16S ribosomal RNA
Rfam family: Bacterial small subunit ribosomal RNA
Source: RNAcentral
GAUGAACGCUGGCGGCGUGCCUAAUACAUGCAAGUCGAGCGAACAGACGAGGAGCUUGCUCCUCUGACGUUAGCGGCGGACGGGUGAGUAACACGUGGAUAACCUACCUAUAAGACUGGGAUAACUUCGGGAAACCGGAGCUGAUACCGGAUAAUAUAUUGAACCGCAUGGUUCAAUAGUGAAAGACGGUUUUGCUGUCACUUAUAGAUGGAUCCGCGCCGCAUUAGCUAGUUGGUAAGGUAACGGCUUACCAAGGCAACGAUGCGUAGCCGACCUGAGAGGGGGAUCGGCCACACUGGAACUGAGACACGGUCCAGACUCCUACGGGAGGCAGCAGUAGGGAAUCUUCCGCAAUGGGCGAAAGCCUGACGGAGCAACGCCGCGUGAGUGAUGAAGGUCUUCGGAUCGUAAAACUCUGUUAUUAGGGAAGAACAAAUGUGUAAGUAACUAUGCACGUCUUGACGGUACCUAAUCAGAAAGCCACGGCUAACUACGUG